GCUAGGUUCUAUUCUGAAAUAGAAUCUUGCUAAGUAUCCCAGGCUGGCCUUGAACUUCCAACUCUCCUGCCUCCACAUAUUAUAGAAUAUCCUUCCUGAAUGGCACAUAUUAGAGAAAUGCUACACCAUGCCCAGACUUUUCAUUUCUUGGUAUUGUCAAGGACAUUGGUGACCCUGACAAAGUCAGAACUAUAGCAGGACCGGAGGCCAGACACAGAACCUGGAGAAUGAAAGAAGCUACAGAAAGAAGCUGGCUGGUGGCACAGUCUUGGGGAAGCUUGGUGAGAUGGCACAAAAAAAUUUGGAAGGCUAAUCAAGAAGCAUCCAGGAGGACUUGCUGCGUCUUUACAGUGGUGUUUUGCCAUGGAUGUCGGCACCCACAUGGCAGCUAGCAUCUGACUAUAGCUCCAGUUCCAAGGCAUCUGGCACCCUUACACAGACAUACUUGUAGGAAAAACACCAAUGCAUACAAUAAAUAAAUAAAGUUACAUAAAAAAAAAAACACCUUGCACAUAGAAUUCUCAGGUGCUUCACAAAAUGUCCCUGGAUCCUGGCUUCUGGAAUUUAAACCUUAGCCUGCCUUUUAGCCAGGGCAAGCGCCAUAACCUUUCAUUGUUCCUCAGCACAAGGCACUGUAGCAAAACUACCCUGUGGGCUGUUUGAGGAUUAAACGAAACAUUACUUGGGAGCUGCACAAACACGCCAGAGUGUCCUAUAAAUACCUGCGAUUGCUGCUGCUGUCCCACGUAAUCCUGCCCACCAGGGAAGAUUGUAUCUCCAUUCUACAGGAAGCUAAGGCUUGGCAUGGUUGAUAACCGUCCUAGUAGCGUGGCUGGUGUGGGGUGUCGGCCGCAGCAUCUCCAGGAACGCUUCCUCCACCCUCCCCACCCACCCACUGUUCUGCAACAUGAAGGAGCAUAGUAGAAAUGAAGAAAAUGUCUUCGGUUUUAGAAUUGACCCAGUUGGAAUGAUAAAUUGCAUAUUCAGCCUACUUAGAGGAGGAGGAAAUGUAGACAAAAAUACCACAGAAAGGACAAGUAGGAACUGGUCCACUUGGACCAGGUGUGGCACUGAUGAGCUUGAGAAGAGUGGAAAAGAGAAUGAGAUGUGUCUAACCUUUGGAUGUUGGAACAUCACGUUGUCUACGGAACUCAUGCUCAGAAACCACAUAACCAAGUCUCAUGUCCUCCCCGUCAUACUUUAAGUUCAUGAUUUUGUGUUCAGCUGCAACCGCAGCUGCCUUGCUGGGCACAGCUCACUGGGUCACGCUGAAGUCUGAACAAACGGUGAUAGAGGUAAGAAACGUGCCCGAGUCUUCACGGAAGCCCAGCUGGAGCCAAUGGAGAGGGCGACUCCGGGAGUAUCACAGCUUCCUAGCUCCAUUCAGGGUGGAA
RNAcentral lists this long non-coding RNA (1394 nucleotides) under Cricetulus griseus (Chinese hamster). RNAcentral describes it as "lncRNA (ENSCGRG00015032204.1)". Lineage: Eukaryota; Metazoa; Chordata; Mammalia; Rodentia; Cricetidae. The record is from RNAcentral.